Molecule: non-coding RNA, 45 nt
Filed under: Echinostoma caproni
Lineage: Eukaryota; Metazoa; Platyhelminthes; Trematoda; Plagiorchiida; Echinostomatidae
Source: RNAcentral
GCACUGCUGACGAGUCCCAAAAAGGACGAAAGAACUGUACAGUAC